GCUGACCACAGUAACAUGAGCUUCUCAGAAUGCGUGGAGCAGUGCACUAGGACCUUGCAGGCAGAAGGGAGAUCUAAAAAAAGGAAGGAGUAAUAACCAGGAGGGAGGAUUCAGAAGACUUUCCAAUCAGAGUUCCAUCCAUUCUUGGCAAAGGUUGCAUGAUCCAGAUGAAGACUGCAGCUUUUUGCAAAGACCCCUUUUCAAGACAACAGUUGGCAGUGGGACUUUCUCAAUCUCUGAAAAAGAAAAUGGAGAUGCCUUUUUUUUUUAAGCCAGCCACCUUUUAGUAUGUGCAAUUUAUUUAGCACUUUUCCCUUUGCUUAACUGGGAAAUGUUAUGCUCUCGGCUCAUAUUGUACAGUCAUUUUGUUGUUGUUGUAGCUGUUGUGCCAAAGACUCGAUGGAGCUUCUACACUGUGUCUAGUUUUGCCUUAAAUGUUAAAUCCUUGAGCCAAAGAAAACUCAGAAAUUCCAUUUAGGUAAUGUUGAGUGGGCCAGUUCAAUCAGUGACAAAUCUGAAUUUCUGAAUCCUUCUCUAAAAGUUUCCUCUUUUCUUUCUCCUGUUCAUAUCUAUCUACUUGCAGCCCUGGAACCAGCAUUCACAGCCGGAAAAAGCCAGGACACACCAACACUUGCUCCAGAGUUGAUCUCUCUUUCUUUCAGCGAUUUCAUUGUUCUACUUCUUUGGCAAUUACCUGGUUUUCUUCCUGCUGGGAAACAUGUGCAUAGGGUAGAAAUAGUGACACAAAGUGAGAGCUGAAACCAGAUCUAUGCUUUUUAAAUAUAAAUAUAUCAAUAAAUAAAAAGUGCCACGUAAAGCAAUAAAAAAAAAUCAGUAAGACAGUUCAGAUAGGCAGCAUGGUGUUUAGCAAAACAAUUCAGUAGUUGUUUCCUUCAGUUUUGAGAAGUCAUUUUUGGCUGGUUUUUUUUUAAGUAGUUAAAAACCCAUGUAAUGCAAAGGCAUUUGAAUCCUAUACUGUAUUUUUCGCUUCAAAUUGAAGUAAAAAAAUUAAGAACCAUUUGCUUGGAGUAAGCAAACUUUAUAGGUAAUGCAGUUCAUAUGCAAGACAUCUGCUAGUGGUGGAGGACAGAAUUCAGUGUCAGACUAAAAGAAUAUGGGUUUGUAAAGAAAGGAGAUUAACCUGUUUCAUUUUCACUUAAGGAUAAAGGUUAUACCUCAGGGGACAGAUUCAGAUCUCAGUUACACUAGUGUAAAUCAGGUUUACUUACGCUUGAUUUACUCCAGUGUAACAGAUCUUAAUCUGGCCCUGUGUGUAUAUGUCUGGAGUUGCAUGGGGGAGGGGAGGCUCUUCAUUAUAUGAACAUGUAACUCUUAGCAACCUCAGCAGGAAUUAAGCAUGUGUGCAGAGGGGAGAUCAGACUGUGUGCUACUAAACCAUUGACCUGAUAUCAAUACAAAAUCCUGAACUCA
Gopherus flavomarginatus (Mexican gopher tortoise) is the source of this 1431-nucleotide RNA transcript. It is a transcript of the gene named atonal bHLH transcription factor 8, with no coding region annotated. The transcript has 2 exons. Lineage: Eukaryota; Metazoa; Chordata; Testudines; Testudinidae. The record is from RefSeq and is a predicted model, not a curated record.